This 263-nucleotide unclassified non-coding RNA is filed under the name plant metagenome. RNAcentral describes it as "partial contains small subunit ribosomal RNA, internal transcribed spacer 1, and 5.8S ribosomal RNA". The record is from RNAcentral.
UUUCCGUAGGUGAACCUGCGGAAGGAUCAUUAUUGUAUAACCGAGGUGCGAGGGCUGUCGCUGACCCGAAAGGUCGUGCACGCCCGAGUGCCCUCACACACAUCCAUCUCACCCCUAUCUGCACCACCGCGUGGGUCCCCCUUUGGCUUGUUCGGAGGGGGGCUUACGUUUUCACACAAACUUUGUAUGCAGUGUAGAAUGUAUUUUUUGUUUUUGCGAUCACGCAAUCAAUACAACUUUCAACAACGGAUCUCUUGGCUCUC